AGUAAUGCGUGACCGACCUGCCCCAUGCUCCGGAAUAGCUCCUGGAAACGGGUGGUAAUGCCGGAUGUUCCACAUGAUCGCAUGUGAUUGUGGGAAAGAUUUCAUCGGCGUGGGAUGGGGUCGCGUCCUAUCAGCUUGUUGGUGAGGUAACGGCUCACCAAGGCUUCGACGGGUAGCCGGCCUGAGAGGGCGACCGGCCACAUUGGGACUGAGAUACGGCCCAG
This 224-nucleotide ribosomal RNA is filed under the name uncultured Bifidobacteriales bacterium. RNAcentral's name for it is "partial 16S ribosomal RNA". It matches the Rfam family "Bacterial small subunit ribosomal RNA", at positions 109 to 334 of the family's 1533-position model. Lineage: Bacteria; Bacillati; Actinomycetota; Actinomycetes; Bifidobacteriales. The record is from RNAcentral.